This 1502-nucleotide long non-coding RNA is filed under the name Sus scrofa (pig). RNAcentral's name for it is "lncRNA (ENSSSCG00060022721.1)". Lineage: Eukaryota; Metazoa; Chordata; Mammalia; Artiodactyla; Suidae. The record is from RNAcentral.
CUGAGAUUGACUCAUUGAAUGAGGAUGAAGUGGUGAAGGAAUGGAAAAACUUACGUUAAUAGAGCUGGAUUGAAUCUGUAACAAAAUAAAUGUUUGCUAUUGAUGCAUCUGUGACACAGACAUUUGGUGAUGAAUGUAAUUUCUUGUUCUGCCUUAGGAUCAGUUUACUUGUGGAGAGACAGUCCCAGCCCCCUCCACCAACAAAGAACUAGUUAAAUGCUAAAGAAGACUUCAGGACUUCAAAGCCUGAACUUUUGGGAAUGAGCCAAGGUGGAAGAAUCAAAUGCAGAGUCACUGGCUUCUUCGUGUGGACCAUCAUUUUGUAGGUUGCUGUUCAUUAGCGUGUGGAUUCUUUCCAUUGGCGGCUGGGCUCAUCUCCAAUUGAAGAAGCAGGUUCACCACAUGACAUACCCAGGCAAUAACAGACAUCCUUGGUGUCAUAGUCUGCUAGAGCACAGAAGAGCAGGAAGAAGUUCCCUAAGUCCAGACGUCCCAGGAGAAAAGAAGCAAAUGGCACUGGUGAUGAAUAAACUGUGAUAAUGAGAACAAUUUUGUUUCCAAAGCAAGUGAAUCACUAAAUCUGUUAACCACAAAAACACAUAUCAGGAUUUAAUGCUAUGUUAAGCAGAAGGUAAAACCAGGUCUUGAAGGUCUGACUAGCAUUCUUUGUGGUGUGUGCCUUGUUUAGCUUAACAGACACUUCAGAGCCUCUGAGAACUGAUGGUAAUCCAGGCUUUGUCUCUUGCUAGCUUUGUGAUCUUUGGCAAGGCUAGUGGAUUCCUCAUCUGUACAAUUAGGAGACUGGUUCAGGGGGUUUCAAACGCAGUACUAUAAUUUCAGGCUUUGUAGUUUGCAGAUGCUGGAAUGAUAAUUGAAACCUUUCUAAACUAAACAUGAUCUACAAGGAUCAUGCAUGUACUUCAGUGUAUACAUUCAGAACCCUUAUUUUGUGGAAAGCACCCAACAUUUUUGAUAACUGUACAUAUUAAUUUAUUACCAGAAUAAAUUGUAUUGGCAUGCUAAAUAAAAGAUUAUUUAUAUCCCUUUGUUUUCAUGCAGUAUUCUUCCCCUAGACACCAGUGUUAAUGUAUUAAAAGGUUAUAGUGUGAUUUUAUAUGAGGUGGAAAUCUAACCUUUGGGAUAUUAUAAGUAGGUUUCUGAUAUGAACAGUAAGUUUUAAAAUAGGAAAGAAAUUGCCACUCUUUCUACAGUUUGACCACAUGAGUUUUGGUUCUGAAGUUUUAUUGUUAUUCAGGAAAAAAUAGCUUUGAAUUGUGGCAAUAAGGCAUAAAUAGUUGACAUUCUUUCUUUUUUUUUUUUUGUCUUUUUGCCUUUUCUAGGGCCGCUCCCUCGGCAUAUGGAGGUUCCCAGGAUAGGGGUCAAAUCAGAGCUGUAGCCACCGGCCUACACUAGAGCCACAGCAAUGUGGGACCCAAGCUGCAUCUGCAACCUACACCACAGCUCACGGCAACACCGUAUCCUUAACCCACUGAGCAAGGCCA